CCUGCCCCUAGAAGUGUUGUAGGUGCGGCUAUUGGGACACAGGUACAUCAGUAGGUGCCAGAGAGAGGCUAUGUCUACACUCAGUGCUCUGACCUAGGAACAUCUGAAUGAGUACUAGCCUAACAUU
Mastomys coucha (southern multimammate mouse) is the source of this 127-nucleotide small nucleolar RNA. RefSeq annotates it as small nucleolar RNA SNORA17. The record is from RefSeq and is a predicted model, not a curated record. The transcript has a single exon. Lineage: Eukaryota; Metazoa; Chordata; Mammalia; Rodentia; Muridae.